GAGAACUCCAAGAAAGACUCAAAACCUGAGGAUACAGGAGGUAGCAGUAUAAAGAGACGCAUUAGUCUGCUUUUGGACUCUUCUUCAUCCCCCUUCUCAGUGGCACGUGUGGAUACUCCAGGGACUGAGCCUCACUCACCGGGGCUGUCUGUCUCUGAUACUGAUGGAGCGGUGUGGGUGAAACAGCGAAUCAAAGAACUGACCGAAGAAGUGCCUACUACGCUGUCACCACCCCAGAAGCCACAAUGUAAGCCACGUACCCUAGUAUCUGACCGCACUAAAAGAUUUGAAGCAGCGCUUGAAAGCCAUAGUUCCUAUGAGCUCAAAGGCCCCCAGCAGGUGAAGAAGAUCAAAACAAAAAGUUCGAUUACUCCACGAUUGAAGGGGAGUUCACCAAACAAGAGGACAGGAAAGCAUCAUCACUAGGUGUUCAAGACUUAUCUACCAACUCUGGUUUUGAUAGUGACAGAGUGCAAACAGUACGAGCGUCUAUGUUCGAGCAUGUGGUGGAAAGGCAUAAUGUUCAAGUAAUGGAGGAUAACAUUUCACAAGACCCAAGAGCACAACAGGAAAGCACAAUUAAACCCAUGCCCAGGCGAAACCACUCUUUGCGUAUUCAAGAUAACACCCUUAAAGCUCUUGAAGAUGAUGAACCUGGUAGUUUGGUCAAAGCAACCUAUAGAGAACAAGUUUCUCCUUCCAGCCCUGUACGUGUGGAGCAUGUCUUUGACACUGUGGCUUUG
Molecule: long non-coding RNA, 743 nt
Organism: Cyprinus carpio (common carp)
Lineage: Eukaryota; Metazoa; Chordata; Actinopteri; Cypriniformes; Cyprinidae
Exons: 3
Source: RefSeq, a predicted model, not a curated record